CAAUGGGCGCAAGCCUGAUGGAGCAACACCGCGUGAGUGAAGAAGGGUUUCGGCUACGUAAAGCUCUGUUGUUAAAGAAGAACACGUAUGAGAGUAACUGUUCAUACGUUGACGGUAUUUAACCAGAAAGUCACGGCUAACUACGUGCCAGCAGCCGCGGUAAUACGUAGGUGGCAAGCGUUAUCCGGAUUUAUUGGGCGUAAAGAGAGUGCAGGCGGUUUUCUAAGUCUGAUGUGAAAGCCUUCGGCUUAACCGGAGAAGUGCAUCGGAAACUGGAUAACUUGAGUGCAGAAGAGGGUAGUGGAACUCCAUGUGUAGCGGUGGAAUGCGUAGAUAUAUGGAAGAACACCAGUGGCGAAGGCGGCUACCUGGUCUGCAACUGACGCUGAGACUCGAAAGCAUGGGUAGCGAACAGGAUUAGAUACCCUGGUAG
RNAcentral lists this ribosomal RNA (433 nucleotides) under uncultured bacterium. RNAcentral's name for it is "bacterial SSU rRNA". It matches the Rfam family "Bacterial small subunit ribosomal RNA", at positions 369 to 793 of the family's 1533-position model. The record is from RNAcentral.